UAUUUUUAUUAGUCAGUAAUACAUAUUCCUUUGCCAUUGAGAUAUUUUGAGAGAAAAAAAUGUUUGCCAUCACUUUCACAGCAAAUAUGCCCCUUUAAAAGAACAUGACCCACGAACCAUGAAAAAUGGCCUAGCCUGGGAAAUUGAUAAUUUCUGUAUAUAAUAAUCUUCGGGAUAUAGGCUUUCUAGAAAUGUUUUUCUUUUUUUCAUAUAUUCUAUACUUUUUUGUUAAUAUGACGUUGAAUAUUGUGGUAUUUAAUGUUAAAAAAUUAACAUUUCGGGAUACACGUCACAACAAUAAACCUCCAAUGACCAUGUACAAUGUACAUGAACCUAUAAAUCUCUGAAUUUAUCAAGUUAUAUGCACUCAAAUAGCUAGAAUGGCUUAUUCAAUGAUCAUAAUAAGCAUUUUUGACCAAAUUUGGGAAAUAGAAAUAAGAAAUAUUUUGGAAAUGAUGUUCAAAGCCGUGAUUGUUCAACUUUACUUUUAAAUUAUUUUUACUUGAAUUUUAAAAUACUGAAAUAAGAAGAAUAAAUAUAGUAUGUAGUUUAUUUACAUGGUGAAAGAAGUGAAUCAUUGGAACAAUUCUGUUUCAUAUCAUAUUCCAUAGUUUUGGGUUUUUUUGUUUUCUUUCUUUUUUUUUUUUUUUUAGUAUUAAAACGACCGAGUAUCGAAAGCAAUGGUAACGAAAUAAGUUGACACCGCGUCUCGUCAAAACAUGUUCAAUUCGAAUUUACUCGGAAUUACACGUUCAACGAGCAUUUGCUGUGAAACCUGAUUAAAGGAAAAUUACUGUAGACACCUAAUAGUGAUUUGUACAGAAGCGAGCCCCGGCAGGAAUGAUGGCCUCUUUUGAAAUGAAGAUUUCAUGCCUUACUCCUACUGGGACUACAACUAACUUUGGACCUGGUCACUCGCAGAUACAGCAUGAAGUGUGCCCUCUUGAUGUACAUGGGGAUGGGAGUGAUACAGAAGGGGGACUAAUUGGAAGAACUGCUGCUGCUGGUGGUGGUGCUGGACUGUCUUGAAUCUGUUGCCUAACCGACUUGAUAUUCUUCUGUUUAAUAUGGGAGCAACACACACACUCUGGCAUAUAUUGCACAGAAAAUCAUGAUCAGAUGGUGCCCUCCCUAUCAGAGUGGUGAUCACUGACCUAUAUUUCUUUGAAAUCCUGGAUCUGUGUUUUGGUUUUACUCUCCAUGGACAGUUGAAACAGAGAAAGAAUUAGGGACCACUCCUUGGCAUAUCUGAAAUAUUUAUGUCAUAUACAUGUAAUUAAAAUAUACAAUUUGGGUUGGAUGAAAAUCUUAUCUUCAUGUUAAAACCCAUUAGCCUAGGUUAUUUUUCCUAAAAUCUAAUUAUAAAUCAAUUAACUUGUUAAUUAAUGCUUGGUGAAUCAAUUAAUAAAUUGUAUUCAAGAACUUGGAAUUAUUUUUUUUCCCACUAAUAAACUGAAAAUGUGUAUCUUCAAA
Ostrea edulis (European flat oyster) is the source of this 1473-nucleotide long non-coding RNA. RefSeq lists it as uncharacterized. The record is from RefSeq and is a predicted model, not a curated record. Lineage: Eukaryota; Metazoa; Mollusca; Bivalvia; Ostreida; Ostreidae. The transcript is spliced from 2 exons.